Molecule: ribosomal RNA, 429 nt
Filed under: uncultured bacterium
Lineage: Bacteria
Description: bacterial SSU rRNA
Rfam family: Bacterial small subunit ribosomal RNA
Source: RNAcentral
UGGGGAAUAUUGCGCAAUGGGCGAAAGCCUGACGCAGCGACGCCGCGUGGAGGAUGAAGGUCUUCGGAUUGUAAACUUCUGUUAAGUGGGAAGAAAAAUUUGCGUUUAAUACACGCAAGGAAUGACGGUACCAUUAGAGAAAGCACCGGCUAACUUCGUGCCAGCAGCCGCGGUAAUACGAAGGGUGCAAGCGUUAUUCGGAUUUAUUGGGCGUAAAGGGUGCGUAGACGGUAUAUUAAGUCUAUUGUUAAAUCUUCUGGCCUAACCAGAAAUCUGCAGUAGAUACUGAUGUGCUAGAGGGUGGAAGAGAGAAGUGGAAUUCUCGGAGUAGCGGUAAAAUGCGUAGAUCUCGAGAGGAACACCAAUGGCGAAGGCAGCUUCUUGGUCCACACCUGACGUUGAGGCACGAAAGCGUGGGGAGCAAACAGG